GAUGAACGCUAGCUACAGGCUUAACACAUGCAAGUCGAGGGACCGGCGCACGGGUGAGUAACACGUAUCCAACCUGCCCUUUACUCGGGGAUAGCCUUUCGAAAGAAAGAUUAAUACCCGAUAUAAAGGAUGGGGAUGCGUUCCAUUAGGUUGUUGGUGAGGUAACGGCCCACCAAGCCUUCGAUGGAUAGGGGUUCUGAGAGGAAGGUCCCCCAACAUGGAACUGAGACACCGUCCAAAACCCUACGGGAGAGAGGAGGGAGGAAUAUUGGUCAAUGGGCGGUAGCCUUAACCAGCCAAGUAGCGUGAAGGAUGAAGGCUUAUGGGUUGUUAACUUCUUUUAUAUAAGAAUAUGUAUUAUAUGAAUAAGGAUCGGCUAACUCCGUGCCAGCAGCCGCGGUAAUAC
Molecule: ribosomal RNA, 406 nt
Filed under: uncultured bacterium
Lineage: Bacteria
Description: partial 16S ribosomal RNA
Rfam family: Bacterial small subunit ribosomal RNA
Source: RNAcentral